UACGAAGGUUGCGAGCGUUGUUCGGAAUCACUGGGCUUAAAGCGUAUGUAGGCGGGUAAGUAAGCGCUUUGUGAAAUCCCCCGGCUUAACCGGGGAAUUGCUUGGCGAACUGCUUAUCUUGAGGCAAAUAGGGGUGCAUGGAACUCUUGGUGGAGCGGUGGAAUGCGUAGAUAUCAAGAGGAACGCCAGCGGUGAAAACGGUGCACUGGAUUUGUCCUGACGCUCAGAUACGAAAGCGUGGGGAG
This 245-nucleotide ribosomal RNA is filed under the name uncultured bacterium. RNAcentral describes it as "partial 16S ribosomal RNA". It matches the Rfam family "Bacterial small subunit ribosomal RNA", at positions 524 to 768 of the family's 1533-position model. The record is from RNAcentral.